UGGAUCCAGACUUUGAUUAUGGCUCAGGAUAAACGCUGGCGGCGCACAUAAGACAUGCAAGUCGAACGGACUUAAUCAGUUUGUUUACAAAUUGAAGCGGUUAGUGGCGGACUGGUGAGUAACACGUAAGCAACCUGCCUAUUAGAGGGGAAUAACAGUGAGAAAUCACUGCUAAUACCGCAUAUGCCAUAAUCACCACAUGGUGGAAGUGGGAAAGGAGAAAUCCGCUAAUAGAUGGGCUUGCGUCUGAUUAGCUAGUUGGUGGGGUAACGGCCUACCAAGGCAGCGAUCAGUAGCCGGACUGAGAGGUUGAACGGCCACAUUGGGACUGAGAUACGGCCCAGACUCCUACGGGAGGCAGCAGUCGGGAAUAUUGCGCAAUGGAGGAAACUCUGACGCAGUGACGCCGCGUAUAGGAAGAAGGUUUUCGGAUUGUAAACUAUUGUCGUUAGGGAAGAAAAAAGACAGUACCUAAGGAGGAAGCUCCGGCUAACUACGUGCCAGCAGCCGCGGUAAUACGUAGGGAGCAUGCGUUAUCCGGAUUUAUUGGGUGUAAAGGGUGCGUAGACGGGAAUUUAAGUUAGUUGUGAAAUCCCUCGGCUUAACUGAGGAACUGCAACUAAAACUGGAUUUCUUGAGUGCAGGAGAGGAAAGCGGAAUUCUUAGUGUAGCGGUGAAAUGCGUAGAUAUUAGGAGGAACACCAGUGGCGAAGGCGGCUUUCUGGACUGUAACUGACGUUGAGGCACGAAAGUGUGGGGAGCAAACAGGAUUAGAUACCCUGGUAGUCCACACUGUAAACGAUGGAUACUAGGUGUAGGGUGUAUUAAGCACUCUGUGCCGUCGCAAACGCAAUAAGUAUCCCACCUGGGGAGUACGGCCGCAAGGUUGCAACUCAAAUGAAUUGACGGA
This 910-nucleotide ribosomal RNA is filed under the name uncultured Bacillota bacterium. RNAcentral's name for it is "bacterial SSU rRNA". It matches the Rfam family "Bacterial small subunit ribosomal RNA", at positions 1 to 917 of the family's 1533-position model. The record is from RNAcentral. Lineage: Bacteria; Bacillati; Bacillota.